CCGUGUUCUGUGACUGACUCGGCUGGCGCCGGACUGUCGGACGCCCGCCGGUCUGUCGCAGAACACAAGA
Non-coding RNA from Acyrthosiphon pisum (pea aphid), 70 nucleotides. NCBI's taxonomy places the organism in Eukaryota, Metazoa, Arthropoda, Insecta, Hemiptera, Aphididae. The record is from Rfam.